UACAGCCAUAUCACGUUGAAACACCGGUUCUUGUCCGAUCACCAAAGUUAAGCAACGUCGAGCUUGGUAAGUACCUAGAUGAUUGACCGCUUGGGAAUGCGAAGUGUUGUAA
Acanthosepion pharaonis is the source of this 112-nucleotide non-coding RNA. NCBI's taxonomy places the organism in Eukaryota, Metazoa, Mollusca, Cephalopoda, Sepiida, Sepiidae. The record is from the annotation of a GenBank genome assembly.